This 491-nucleotide ribosomal RNA is filed under the name uncultured bacterium. Its description in RNAcentral is "partial 16S ribosomal RNA". It matches the Rfam family "Bacterial small subunit ribosomal RNA", at positions 29 to 506 of the family's 1533-position model. The record is from RNAcentral.
AGUGAACGCUGGCGGUAGGCCUAACACAUGCAAGUCGAACGGCAGCACAGUAAGAGCUUGCUCUUACGGGUGGCGAGUGGCGGACGGGUGAGGAAUACAUCGGAAUCUACUUUUUCGUGGAGGAUAACGUAGGGAAACUUACGCUAAUACCGCAUACGACCUACGGGUGAAAGCAGGGGAUCUUCGGACCUUGCGCGAUUGAAUGAGCCGAUGUCGGAUUAGCUAGUUGGCGGGGUAAAGGCCCACCAAGGCGACGAUCCGUAGCUGGUCUGAGAGGAUGAUCAGCCACACUGGAACUGAGACACGGUCCAGACUCCUACGGGAGGCAGCAGUGGGGAAUAUUGGACAAUGGGCGCAAGCCUGAUCCAGCCAUACCGCGUGGGUGAAGAAGGCCUUCGGGUUGUAAAGCCCUUUUGUUGGGAAAGAAAAGCAGCAGGUUAAUACCCCGCUGUUCUGACGGUACCCAAAGAAUAAGCACCGGCUAACUUCGU